AUGCACGCUGGCGGCGUGCCUAAUACCUGCCAGUCGAGCGCACGGACGAGAAGCUUGCUUCUCUGAUGUUAGCGGCGGACGGGUGAGUAACACGUGGAUAACCUACCUAUAAGACUGGGAUAACUUCGGGAAACCGGAGCUAAUACCGGAUGAUAUUUUGAACCGCAUGGUUCAAAAGUGAAAGACGGUCUUGCUGUCACUUAUAGAUGGAUCCGCGCUGCAUUAGCUAGUUGGUAAGGUAACGGCUUACCAAGGCAACGAUGCAUAGCCGACCUGAGAGGGUGAUCGGCCACACUGGAACUGAGACACGGUCCAGACUCCUACGGGAGGCAGCAGUAGGGAAUCUUCCGCAAUGGGCGAAAGCCUGACGGAGCAACGCCGCGUGAGUGAUGAAGGUCUUCGGAUCGUAAAACUCUGUUAUUAGGGAAGAACAUAUGUGUAAGUAACUGUGCACAUCUUGACGGUACCUAAUCAGAAAGCCACGGCUAACUACGUG
This 496-nucleotide ribosomal RNA is filed under the name uncultured bacterium. Its description in RNAcentral is "partial 16S ribosomal RNA". It matches the Rfam family "Bacterial small subunit ribosomal RNA", at positions 29 to 507 of the family's 1533-position model. The record is from RNAcentral.